CUCCUGUUCAUUUUACUCUUGAACCUAUUUCAUCGCAUUGACGAAUUCACGAGUUCACGAUGCAAAAUCUGUUUCAUCUUCCCUAGUCCGCAGAUUUCUUAUCGCGUGUUCUCCAUGGUUCAAUCUCUAAGGUUCUGGAUUUGGGUCUUCCUCUGUUCUGAGGAAUAUGAAGCUGCAUGUGGUAUCAGUUUCCCAUCCUAAUCUGAUUGAUGCAUUUUGCUAUGGCUGGUCGCUCACUCGCACGUCAUUCCAUUACUUCCAGAAAGAAAAUUCUAUGUUGCUGCUCUUGCUUAUCUUCUUGAUGUGCUGCUGCUGUUGUGAGGAGUUGUUGCGGGCUAUCGAUGUGUAAUAGCUGAGGAGCUGCAACGGGCUGUCGUUGUGUAGUUGUUGGGAGGAGCUGUUGUUGCAAGGAGCUGUUACGAGGAGCUGCUGCCUCUGUCUUUUCUUCCUGAUUGCAAAUUUACUAUGAAUGUAAUUUAAAUGUCAAUGAUACAAUUAAUAUUUUAGCAUUUCUCAUAAUAAAAUCCAUGUCCGCAAGUGAAACAGCCCAAACCAGCGUAAACAGUAUAAUAAUACUGUCUACAAAGCACAACGGAAGACUUAUAAAAGUUUGAGCUGAAUCCGACCUGUGGCUCGAUAGCAACAGCAAACCAAUAUCAAAGUAACUAAAAACUUUACAUAAUUUAAACUUAAAUAGUUAUAAACCAUUUAUAAUCCAAACUUAUAAUUACAAAACAUUUGGUACCUUAAUCUAAUUCUAUCAAUUUUACAACACAUGAUUCUUUAAAAUAUCAUUACAAAUUAACUUUUCAAAAAUAAUGUCCUCGUUACCGCAAUACAUAACAUAUAAGAGCAGUAAAAGUCCAUCCAUAUUAGAGUUAACUUGAAAGUGUAUCUAUCCUCCGUAAGGAAUAGGCCCUAUCAAAGAUUGUCAACAAUUGAAUUGUUGAGUAAUCCAACAAACUAUUACAUUUAUA
Amaranthus tricolor (Joseph's coat) is the source of this 977-nucleotide long non-coding RNA. RefSeq lists it as uncharacterized. The transcript has 3 exons. The record is from RefSeq and is a predicted model, not a curated record. Lineage: Eukaryota; Viridiplantae; Streptophyta; Magnoliopsida; Caryophyllales; Amaranthaceae.